Molecule: ribosomal RNA, 253 nt
Filed under: uncultured bacterium
Lineage: Bacteria
Description: partial 16S ribosomal RNA
Rfam family: Bacterial small subunit ribosomal RNA
Source: RNAcentral
UACGUAGGAUGCAAGCGUUGUCCGGAUUUAUUGGGUUUAAAGGGUGCGUAGGCGGUUUAUUAAGUUAGUGGUGAAAACGUUCGGCUUAACCGGAUACCCGCCAUUGAUACUGAUAGACUUGAGUGCGACAGAGGGUGUUGGAAUGUGUGGUGUAGCGGUGAAAUGCUUAGAUAUCACGCAGAACACCAAUUGCGAAGGCAGAUGCCUAUGUCGUAACUGACGAUGAGGCACGAAAGAGUGGGGAGCAAACAGG